RNAcentral lists this ribosomal RNA (453 nucleotides) under uncultured Caulobacter sp. RNAcentral describes it as "bacterial SSU rRNA". It matches the Rfam family "Bacterial small subunit ribosomal RNA", at positions 8 to 507 of the family's 1533-position model. The record is from RNAcentral. Lineage: Bacteria; Pseudomonadati; Pseudomonadota; Alphaproteobacteria; Caulobacterales; Caulobacteraceae.
AGAGUUUGAUCCUGGCUCAGAGCGAACGCUGGCGGCAGGCCUAACACAUGCAAGUCGAACGGACCCUUCGGGGUUAGUGGCGGACGGGUGAGUAACACGUGGGAACGUGCCCUUUGGUACGGAACAACUCAGGGAAACUUGAGCUAAUACCGUAUGUGCCCUUCGGGGGAAAGAUUUAUCGCCAUUGGAGCGGCCCGCGUCUGAUUAGCUAGUUGGUGAGGUAAAGGCUCACCAAGGCUACGAUCAGUAGCUGGUCUGAGAGGAUGAUCAGCCACACUGGGACUGAGACACGGCCCAGACUCCUACGGGAGGCAGCAGUGGGGAAUCUUGCGCAAUGGGCGAAAGCCUGACGCAGCCAUGCCGCGUGAAUGAUGAAGGUCUUAGGAUUGUAAAAUUCUUUCACCGGGGACGAUAAUGACGGUACCCGGAGAAGAAGCCCCGGCUAACUUCGUG